AUUGAACGCUGGCGGCAGGCCUAACACAUGCAAGUCGAGCGGAUGAGGGGAGCUUGCUCCCUGAUUUAGCGGCGGACGGGUGAGUAAUGCCUAGGAAUCUGCCUGGUAGUGGGGGAUAACGUUCCGAAAGGAACGCUAAUACCGCAUACGUCCUACGGGAGAAAGCAGGGGACCUUCGGGCCUUGCGCUAUCAGAUGAGCCUAGGUCGGAUUAGCUAGUUGGUGAGGUAAUGGCUCACCAAGGCGACGAUCCGUAACUGGUCUGAGAGGAUGAUCAGUCACACUGGAACUGAGACACGGUCCAGACUCCUACGGGAGGCAGCAGUGGGGAAUAUUGGACAAUGGGCGAAAGCCUGAUCCAGCCAUGCCGCGUGUGUGAAGAAGGUCUUCGGAUUGUAAAGCACUUUAAGUUGGGAGGAAGGGCUGCUGGUUAAUACCCUGCAGUUUUGACGUUACCAACAGAAUAAGCACCGGCUAACUUCGUGC
Molecule: ribosomal RNA, 485 nt
Filed under: uncultured bacterium
Lineage: Bacteria
Description: partial 16S ribosomal RNA
Rfam family: Bacterial small subunit ribosomal RNA
Source: RNAcentral